CAAGAAGUAGCUUAUUAAAAGCAUUCACCCUACAACUGAAAAAUGUUGAUGCCAACCUUUUUGA
Molecule: transfer RNA, 64 nt
Filed under: Furcifer oustaleti (Oustalet's chamelion)
Lineage: Eukaryota; Metazoa; Chordata; Lepidosauria; Squamata; Chamaeleonidae
Description: tRNA-Val
Source: RNAcentral